This 209-nucleotide long non-coding RNA is filed under the name Zostera marina. RNAcentral's name for it is "long non-coding RNA (ZMAR_LNC000443)". The record is from RNAcentral. Lineage: Eukaryota; Viridiplantae; Streptophyta; Magnoliopsida; Alismatales; Zosteraceae.
AUCAUACAAGUCCCUAUAAAACAUAUAUAUCCUAUUACUUAAUAGCAAACAAUAUCUUUUCAAAUAUACACCUACUCCCUAAUACAUUACUCCCUAAUAUACACAUUUCCUAAUCCUAUUUAUUACCACAAUUAAACACACCUACCAAACCCACCUAAAACCCUCAUAGCCGUUGGGUCCUUACCUCUACAAAUAUGAACCAUCACAAC